UGCUGCUUCACUCUCUCUCUUUACAGAAAAGUUGUAGAAGUUUUCAGACGUGUCACUGCUGGAUGUGAGGAUGGGAGCCACUUUGCUCUGUGAGCUGGGCCUAUUCUUGCUCUGUACACUCCUCUGCACUGGACACACUCAAGAUGCUGUGCUAACUAUUGAACCCAACUGGUCCAGUUUUGUUAUUCAAGAGUUUGUUAUCUUCAUAUGUGACAUGAAUGAAGGUGAAGACACUGACUGGGAAUACAAAAUCAACAAGGAUAGUCAAGAAUUUGUUUCCUACAACGCACACAAAGUCUAUGCAUUAGAAAUUAGCUCUAAGGGUGACAGUGGUGAAUAUCAGUGCUCU
Long non-coding RNA from Oreochromis aureus, 349 nucleotides. RefSeq lists it as uncharacterized. The transcript is spliced from 3 exons. NCBI's taxonomy places the organism in Eukaryota, Metazoa, Chordata, Actinopteri, Cichliformes, Cichlidae. The record is from RefSeq and is a predicted model, not a curated record.